GCAACCACACACUUAACAUUCGCUCGCAACAUGGCGUUGAAUCGCCGAGAGACACGACGGCUCACCCCCGACUAGUGCAACCUUAUUGUUAGGAAAGCAAGGGGACUGUUAACCAAAGAGACCUAAACAUUCACAGAGACUCCCUUACGCACCGGCGGAGACAAUAGCGGAUUCCAACAUAUGCAUGUCGCUAUAACGGUAUAGCUGAUUGUAUAGACUCACGCUGCUAUACCCCACUGGUGGAAAUCAAAGGCUGUACAUGGCGGUGGAGAGUACAAUUUGGCUGUUCUGUCUUCUUUCGCUGUUUUGUGGUCCAUCCAAGCAAGAAAAGCCUGUUUCGGUGGAGCUGAGCUGCGGGGCUGGGCCCAGCCAUGUAGUGUUGGAGCCGGGAUCGCCCCUCGUGCUGAACUGCCACCUGGGGUCCAGCGACACACCUUUCAAUGUCACCUGGCUUCAGGAUGGACAGCCCCUGCCUCUAGAGGGGAGUGACUUCCUGCAGUAUUUAGCCAAUGGAUCCCUCCUCUUGCUGCCCACCGCUAAGGAUGGUCAGCCUCCCCGGGGAGUGGAGGGCGGCUACAGCUGCGUGAGUGCCAGCGCCCUAGGAGCCUUGACUAGCCGGACUGUAAACGUGCUCCUGGCAAGUCUGUCUCAGUUCCAUCAGGAGCCAUCACCCCAAACAGUGCCCACUGGGGGAGCUGCUCGCUUUGAGUGCCAGAUUGAGGGAGUACCCACACCUGUUAUUACCUGGGAAAAGGACAAAGUGGCUGUCCCUGAGAAUGCAAGGUUCAUUUCCCUCCCUAACGGGGUGCUACAGAUUCUGGAGGUUACCAAGGAGAAUGAGGGUGCCUACCGCUGUGUUGCAUCCAACUCUGCCAGGAAGGACAUCAGUCAUGAAGCCAGGCUCACUGUCACCACAGGCUCUACUGAAGCCCUGAACAAAGUUGUGAUUGUGGCACCGCCUCAGAAUGCAACAGUAGUGCUCGGCCGUCCCGCUGUGAUGGAGUGCAUGGCACAAGGCCAGCCGAAACCACUGGUGUCCUGGAGCAGACAAGAUGGAAAGCCCAUUUCCACUGAAGUGGUCGUCCUCGCAACAAACCUGGUGAUUAGGGACACUAGGCGUCACCAUGCUGGUGUAUAUGUCUGCAGGGCCAACAAGCCCAGAACCAGAGAGUUUGUCAUUGCUGCAGCUGAGCUGCAUGUGCCUGCCCCUCCAGUGAUUCUCCAGCCCCCAGAGACAGUGUCCCUCUCCCGAGGAAACACAGCCAGGUUUGUGUGCAACAGCUCUGGGGAACCUCCUCCAGUGUUGCACUGGCUGAAGAAUGGCCAGCCAAUCAAGUCAUUCAGACGGGUGAAGUACCAAAGCCCUGGAGUCCUGCUCAUCAACCAGCUGGCACUGGAGGAUGCGGGCUACUACCAGUGCAUAGCAGACAACGGUCUGGGCACAGCCUGUGCCACUGCCAAGCUGACGGUCAUUGUGAGGGAGGGCCUGCCCAGCCCUCCUCGCCACCUGUCUGCCAUGCCCUACUCUAGCACAACUGCCCUGCUCACCUGGGAGAAACCUGAGUACAACUCGGACCAAAUCAUUGGCUACUCUUUGCACUGCCAGCGAGCCGCAGGCUCAGAUAAUGUGGAGUACCAGUUUGCAAUGAACAAUGACACCACAGAGUAUCACGUCAAAGAGCUUCACCCUCACACUGCCUACACAUUCUUUGUAGUGGCUUACUCUCCCAUGGGUGCCAGUCGCCCGUCCAUGCCUGUUACUGUUGAGAUGCUGGAGGAUGUGCCGAGUGCACCUCCUCAGCUGUCAAUAGCCAGCACCUCCCCCACAGACAUCAGGUUGAUGUGGCAUCCAUUGUCCUCGCAGCACAGUCGAGGAGCUGUUACCCGUUACCGCAUUGAGUACAGCACUCUGGAUCAGGUGGACACUGUGUUCUCAGUGGAAGUGGCAGGUAAUGAGACCCAGUUCACAUUGAGAGAGCUGCAGCCCAACCAGUCCUACAGACUGAGGAUAGCAGCUGGAACAGGCGUUGGCUUUGGGGUUCCAUCUGAGUGGGCCCAGCACCAAACCCUUGCCCACUAUAACCACAGUGACCACAGCAUGGUGAUCUUUGCCCCUACUGAGAUGAAAGUUAGAGCUAGAGUGAGCACACUCAACGUAACAUGGCAUCCCUCACCCAAUCACACACUAAUCUCUGGGUAUAAGCUGUCCUGUCGAGAGGUGGAGGCUGACGAAUCAGCGAAUGGAGGAAAGACAGCACAGACCCACACCAUCAGGCUCCGUAAGAAGGCCAGGUAUCAUCUCCUCACUGGGCUGGUCCCUGACCGUCAGUACGAGGUGAGAGUUUGGGCAUUUAACAAGCAGAUAGAUGGAUCUGCUGCUGUGUGGAAGGGAAGGACAGACAAGGCUCAUGAUAGAACAUCAACACUGCCCAUGCGCCCCCCUCCAUUACCUCCAAGCAGCAUCCAAGCCAUGGCCAACAGCUCCACCUCCAUCUGGUUGCGCUGGGAGAAACCGCGAUUCAGCAACGUACGCAUCAUCGACUACACAGUGCGCUGCAGCCCAGCAGGAACCACCAAUGCCUCUCUGGUCUCCUACCACACCAGCUCUGCUCAAGAGAUACUGCUCGGGGCAUUGAAGCCCUUCACCCGCUAUGAGCUGGCAGUGCAAUCUAAUGGAGUGGACGUUGUGGGACCCUUCAGUGGCACAGUGGAGGAGUCCACUCUGUCUGACCGGCCCUCCACACCUCCGGAGGAGCUGCAGCUGAGUGCGCUAGACUCCAGCUCUGUUCUGGUGAGCUGGCGCCCUCCUCUGGAGCCUAAUGGUAUCAUCGUCAGCUACAGGAUCUUGUACAGUGGGAACGUCAGCCAGCCUGACCACUUGUGGAAAAACCUUUCUCAGGAUGGGAGCAUUACCAGUGUGGAGGUCCAGGGUUUGUCCAGUGGCAACCAUUACUUUUUUAAGUUGGGCGCAUCUACGGAGGUGGGACCGGGGCCUUAUUCACCUGUAAAGGAUGUUCACACCCCACCUCAACAAUAUGAGCUGGACAUCCAUGCAGUGACAGGCAUCAUAGUUGGUGUGUGUCUGGGGCUGAUAUGCAUCCUUCUCUGCAUGUGUUUAAGCUUUCGUAACGGCAAGGCCAGGGAGGUAUCUGGGGGCCUGGACUCCACAGCUGUGACCCCUCAGUACAGGAGAGGAGGCUGCCCCAUUCCCCCUGAUGUGCCAGAGUGCAGCGAUGGCCACGAGUUGGAGACACUGAUGCCCCCAGGCAGCCAAGAGUCUGGUCUGCUGCUAACAGCGGCCCCAGAGGAGCAGAGCCUGAUGGCAAGUGCAAAUCCAGAGGAAGGGGAGGAUGCCCCUACACCUGAAACCAAGGCUGCUUGGAACGGCUCUGUGAGUCAUAAUUGGGUCAACAGAAUCACUAGAUACAGAGACACCAUAACAGAAGACUCUCCGAAACUCAUUAAUGGAGCUCUCAACAUGCUAACUAAUGAUAACGGCACGGAAGAUCGUCUGUGUAUAUCUCUGUGCAGUAACCAGGUCGAGGCAGAGGUUAUCGUUCACUCAGAGCUGUCAGAUCCAGGAAGGGAGAAAGCGGAGGAGGGCAGCAAGAAGGCGAAGGAUUCUAACACCACCAGGGGACCUUCAUUAUCAGAGGACAGAUAUUCCCCUUUGAGCCAGCCAAGCCUGCCACGAGAGGAGGAACCUCUUGAAAAACUGUCACUGGCCCAAAGCCCCUCGAGUCUUCCCUCGAUAAAGUUGGUGGCUAAUCACAACAGGGAGCUAGAAGGCAUGACAGACCAUCCGAAUGCAGACAUAGAACCACAGCAGGACAUGGGGCUAACCAAUGGCUUCCACUCCCCUAAGACAAUGCGGUCUGUGCUGAGGUCAGAGCAUCUGGAGAACGGGGACUCCAGACAGUGCCCUUUGGCACCAGGGAAGGCCAUUUCUGCUGGGCUGUCCCCCGCCCCCUUUGUCAGCUCCGGCCUUGUCCACUCUACCUCAGCAGCACACAGUUACCUGUGCCCGUAGCCUUUGCAUGUAGGGCAUCGACCCUUACACACACAUACAGACAUCAGACUGAUUUUGUUUCCUCUAUGUACCCAGGAAGGAUCCCCAAGGAUUAUUUUUAUGCACCUCAUUGUUGGAUUUCUUUCUCUUCCUUGCAAAGUUUUUAUAAAUACUUUGCAUCCAUUGUUUCAUACUUGUGUAUAUACAGUAUACAGUAUAUUUUUAGUAGUAGAGUACUGUAUAUGGGUAUGCAUUCUCUAGCAUUGUCCUGUCCGUAGGAAAGAAAAGAAAGAUUUAACUUAACCAAGCAGAUAAAAGUGGAUUGAAGGAGGCUAUUCCCACUGUGUCACACAUGGCUCUGUUCCACUCAGGAAGGAGAGAGGCUGGAACGUUCCCUGAGUGGCUGUCUUUAGUCAUCCAGCAGUGAAAAGGGAGUGUGCAAGCCGGAGACCACUUCUUUUUGUAUGUAUGCCAUGCAAGUGUCUAAAUCUCACCAGCUCAACUCAAUCACCCCAACAACUGAAAUGUAAAGUGUUUCUCAUGACAUGUAGGAAACAUACUCGACAUGUUUCUUUCUCAACAUAAUUGUGUUUGCUCUAAAACUUUUCUGAUCAAAAUGCAUGGUUGGUACCUCAAAGAGGCUUAUUUUAUUAUAAUUUUAUUUUUUAGCCUUGCCAUGUAUGUACUUAACCUUGCAAUAUAAUUAACAUGUUUCUUACUGCUGUAGCAGUCAUGUAGGGAAAGAAUUGAAUGUGUUUGUCAGCAGACCUGGGUCAAAUAUUAGCUGGAGGAUGUUUUGGGGGUUAGUGCAGAGUUUGCUAUAUCAGGAGAAUUCAAGACUUAAAAAUGUACGAAACUCACUGUAUUGUGCUAUUUGGCAAACCACGCUUAAAUGGUACAUGAAGAGUAAUUCAACAGCAAGUUCACCUGUGGCAGGAAACUGCUGCUGCACCACUCAACUCAUCGAUCUAAAGUGUCAAGCAUGUUUUUACUUGUGGCCACUCCAAUCAGUGAUGUCAGAGCAGGUUUCCACUUGCUUUUAAAAUUAAACAUCUGCUGUUACAUCAUUAAUUUGGGUGACUAUUUUAAUACAUAGUGAGCAGUGCAGCCAGUUUUGUGUUCUAGUGAUCAUAUACUCUUUAUGUAUGCUAAAAUGAACGACCAAAAUUAUUUGUGUGUAUUUUUGACCCAGGUUCUCUACUGAUACUGUUUUUUUAUGUCCUGAAUCCAUAAAGAAGCAUAUUCUUAAAAGCAUUCCAGUCUGAUAUCUUCGACAUACCUCUCUCAGUCCAGGUCAGCCAUGAUUAGCCAUGCUACCUUAAGAAGAGGAGUGCUAAAACCCCAGACUAUGUUCCUGCUGCUGUGAUUGGCUUCAUCCCGAGCUGGCUUCAGUUCAUCCAUUCACUUCAGUAUUUGCAAAUACUUGAGCCAAAUCUGUAGUGUCUUGGCUACCCAGUGAAUGGGGAUGACUGAAUCAGAGUAGUAUAAGAGUGUUUUGAGUAAGUAGUAACAGUAACAAAGAUGACUUAUGAUUGUCUAAACCUUUUGACGCUCAGCCUGUAGAGUCCUUUCACUGAACAUCAAGUUUGUGUCUUUUACCCAACAUUACCCAUUUUCAAAUAGUACAAACAAAUAUUAUACCAAGUUUUGAUUUUGUAUUUUAUGUAUAUUUCUCAUAAUUGAAUACAAAGAAAUCAUCGCUUUGCCCAUUGCAGCUGUUGUGUCUUCCAACAUGGGAGAUAUUCAAGAGCCUUCUGUGAAAAACCUCUGUUGUCAUUGCAGACCAACCACAGCCAUUUGGCACUUGUGUAGGCUAUGUAAAAUACAAAUUAUUUGCUGAUGCUCUUCUGCCCAGAGAACGCUCUCGACACCACUGCAAUUUGUUCUGAUGGACAUUUAACAUGUUUUGAAAUGAGAUGGUUUGUGUCAGUGAGUUGCAGUAUUUGAGAGUUAUUCAGUUAAGUGAUUUCACAUCUGUGAUGCAGGAGUCAGAUUUUAUCAUAAUGUAGCUGCCAAAAUCUAUAAUAAAAAUCUUAGUUGGACAUUGCAAUGGUUCAAUAUAGACUAUAGUAACAUACAGUAUUUAAGUUUAGAAGUUUCAUGUUUUAUGUUUUCGUGUUUUACCACAAAUAUUUCGGCUAAAUCAGGCUGUUUUGCUCGUAUUUUAAGUCUUGAUGCAGUAGUGGUGUGUGGAGCCAACACAGAGGAUCUGUAAUGGGGAUUAGCCUAAAACCUGCCUCCAGCAAAAAGGAUGUAUGCUCUCCUUAUAUGAGCUCUAUUUAACUCUUUUAACCACUAUCUUUGAAAUACAUGUAAUUUUUUUCCUUUUUGUUUGUCUUUUUGUUGGCUGGAACAAUCAGAUUUUUUUUUUUUUUUUGGUGGGGGAGUGGGUGCUCUCAUUUCGUAGAGAUGAUAAUUACUUUGCUAAUUUUCAUUUCAUCCUCUUUCUGUAAGGGUUGUAUUAAACAGUAUACCUCAUGUUGGUAACUUGUUGAUUUGAUUCUGAUCAGUUUCUUGAUACUGCACAUUUUAUAAAAAGUAGAACAUAAGCAUCCUGUUGUUUUGUGAGCCAAGUUUUUCAUGGAGGACAGGAUCGACUGUUAAGUUUUACCUCAGUGUGAGUUAUUACUCAUUACAGUGGCCUGGAUGGUCUAGUCUAGUGGUGAAGGGGUAAACAAAUAACAGGGGUAAGGGGUCAGUGGACGUAAUCUAAACUGACUUUUACAUUGUUAUUCUGCGAUACUAGUUAUUACCAAAUUUGUGCUUCUGCUGAAUAACAGCGUAAGAGUCUGUUUUUGGUAAAAUACCACUUUAACACAACCCAGGCAACUGAAGUACUAAGCAGGAAGAAGGGCUAAAGGGACAUCCUCCCCAGGCAGGUCAUACCUCUCAAUGCAGACAGCCAUUUAGAAAUAAUUGUCUCUUCUCUACUCAGGUGCCCCAUCUUUGCAUAAAAUUGUAGAGGAUCAUGCCAGCAUAUCCAACUCAGAUACAUGUCAUUUGUUGUCAAACAAAGCCUCAUUUUGUCCUUUUUGGAAAGUAAAUCAAGGAAACUCUUAUGCACAGAUGAUAUUUUGUUUUGUACAAAUCACUCAGUGUAUUCUGUCUUUUCUCUGUACAUUCUGGUGCUUUGUGGUGAGCUGCUUUGUCCAGUGAUGUCACAUUGUUGUGGAUUUUUUUUUUUUUUGUACGUCAUCCUCUCUAGUUUUGUGUGUACCCGCUCAGUUGUGCUUCUCAGAAUGUGUAAGCACAGACUCUGUGGUCAUGUACCGCCAGCAACGCUCUACAGCUAUUCAGACACCUCUGUAAUCAUUGUGUGCCGAACAAGACCUCAUUCAUGUCAAAGAUGCUACCGUAGGAGCAACUGUAGGAGCAAUUGUAGGAGCACUUAAUAGAUGAGCACUUCUUCCUGGGCCAUGAGAAACUUUUGACUGUCAUCUUUACAUUUCUAGAAGUGCAAUUUUGUUAGUCUGUAAAACGACAGAUGGAUUACUCAGUGUUAGUCAUGGCGACCAUAGCCAUGAUGUGUGAUAGAAACAUUGCUUGUUCAGAGGAAUCAGUCACAGGAGAGGUAGUAUUUGUGGUUUGUAGAAAUAUUUCCACUGUGUUACCAUAUGUGAACAUGUCAAAACUCACAACAACUCUCAAGAUG
RNA transcript from Thunnus maccoyii (southern bluefin tuna), 7661 nucleotides. It is a transcript of the gene named immunoglobulin superfamily, DCC subclass, member 4, with no coding region annotated. The record is from RefSeq and is a predicted model, not a curated record. The transcript has 21 exons. Lineage: Eukaryota; Metazoa; Chordata; Actinopteri; Scombriformes; Scombridae.